UACGGAGGGUGCAAGCGUUAUCCGGAAUCAAUGGGUUUAAAGGGUGCGUAGGCGGCGCAAUAAGUCAGAGGUGAAAGCCUGCAGCUCAACUGUAGAAUUGCCUUUGAUACUGCUGCGCUUGAAUCAGGUUGAGGUUGGCGGAAUGUGGCAUGUAGCGGUGAAAUGCAUAGAUAUGCCAUAGAACACCAAUUGCGAAGGCAGCUGACUGGGCCUGAAUUGACGCUGAGGCACGAAAGCGUCGGGAGCAAACAGG
RNAcentral lists this ribosomal RNA (253 nucleotides) under uncultured bacterium. Its description in RNAcentral is "partial 16S ribosomal RNA". It matches the Rfam family "Bacterial small subunit ribosomal RNA", at positions 524 to 776 of the family's 1533-position model. The record is from RNAcentral.